Molecule: ribosomal RNA, 497 nt
Filed under: uncultured bacterium
Lineage: Bacteria
Description: partial 16S ribosomal RNA
Rfam family: Bacterial small subunit ribosomal RNA
Source: RNAcentral
GACGAACGCUGGCGGCGUGCCUAAUACAUGCAAGUUGAGCGCUGAAGGUUGGUACUUGUACCGACUGGAUGAGCAGCGAACGGGUGAGUAACGCGUGGGGAAUCUGCCUUUGAGCGGGGGACAACAUUUGGAAACGAAUGCUAAUACCGCAUAAAAACUUUAAACACAAGUUUUAAGUUUGAAAGAUGCAAUUGCAUCACUCAAAGAUGAUCCCGCGUUGUAUUAGCUAGUUGGUGAGGCAAAGGCUCACCAAGGCGAUGAUACAUAGCCGACCUGAGAGGGUGAUCGGCCACAUUGGGACUGAGACACGGCCCAAACUCCUACGGGAGGCAGCAGUAGGGAAUCUUCGGCAAUGGACGAAAGUCUGACCGAGCAACGCCGCGUGAGUGAAGAAGGUUUUCGGAUCGUAAAACUCUGUUGGUAGAGAAGAACGUUGGUGAGAGUAGAAAGCUCAUCAAGUGACGGUAACUACCCAGAAAGGGACGGCUAACUACGUG